This is a long non-coding RNA of Suricata suricatta (meerkat), 396 nucleotides long. RefSeq lists it as uncharacterized. Lineage: Eukaryota; Metazoa; Chordata; Mammalia; Carnivora; Herpestidae. The record is from RefSeq and is a predicted model, not a curated record. The transcript is spliced from 4 exons.
GGGAGAUUCUCCCUGGGAUUUUCAGGAGAAGGGAGCUAAAUUCACUUCAGGGACCUCCAGAAGUGAAAUACACACUCUUUGGAGUCAAACUGGGCUGAACACAACCGAUGACCUACAAUGUCCCCAGUUGAACCCGAAGGAAAUGUGCCAAUGACGAAGACCAGCCUGGACCUCCAAAAGCCACAGCCUAGGAGCACAGUACCUGGUGCACAGAAGGACCUACCUCAAUUCAAUUAAAGUGACUAAUAGAGCCGGCAGCAUUUGCCCUGGAAUAGGCAGAUACGCUACUGGAUACAUGGAAUAUAAAAGUGAAGAAUACAGCAGACUCCUUCCUUCCUUCAAACAGAAGAAUCUGUUUUGAAAUACAUGGCUAAGUCUACAAAGUUACUUAUUAAA